This 421-nucleotide long non-coding RNA is filed under the name Nicotiana benthamiana. Its description in RNAcentral is "long non-coding RNA (NBEN_LNC019381)". The record is from RNAcentral. Lineage: Eukaryota; Viridiplantae; Streptophyta; Magnoliopsida; Solanales; Solanaceae.
UAAAUUCGCUUCAUAUUAAACUUCUUUUUGUAACAAAAUCAUCAAAAUAACUGAUGGUUAAAAACUGAAGGCAUUAAGAAAGUACGUAAAUGAUCAUGGUGUCAUUCAUUCCUUUCGCUCCUUACAAUUUUUUUUGGCUGAAAUGGGAAUUGCUUUUGCUAGAGAAAACAACAAAAGCCACACCAGAAAGAUAGAAGACAGAUGGAAUGGGCUCUCCAAUGAGUUAAUGGGGAUGGACCUAUGUUGCAUGGACUCACCAAAAUGUUUCCGCUCCUGUCUACUUUUGGAGGACCCAACAUACACCCGGCAACAUUUUCGGACAGUCGGAGCAACACAGUGAUGGACUUAUACAUGGAAAGCAUUGUUAGGAUUAUGAUUCCUACUAAAGACAACAACCUUCAUUUGAAUAAUCGGAUUUACA